CUCACGUCCUCCCUAGCCGAGAAGGCGCUUUCGGAAGCGAGCGGUCGCCGGCAUCGUGGCUAAGCCUGGCUUCCUCUCAGUCCUACCUGGACCGAAGCCGAAGCAGGCUGAAGCGAGCGUGUGAGCCCCGGAUUCCAGACCCGCGUCUGAUGCUUCAGGACCUGUGAUGAUGUGCAGUGUGUGCUAGGUGUCACCCAGCCUCACACGCCGUCAUAGGUUAUGUGCUUAACAAAAAACACCAGAGAGAAAAUCCCGAUGAACCCAAAUUUAGACACCACUCAUUUCAAAAAAAAAAAAAAAAAGAGGGUUCCACGUGGUCUUACAUACUGAGUUCCUAUCGCGUGUCACAAUACACAGGAAACCUGUCCCCUUGCUCAAGGAGCUGUAUUGUGACUCAGCAGGGGAGUGCAUGUACAAAAGCCUGGCCUCGGCCAGAGCUUGCCCAAGAGCCUGGUGAACAGACCUAGGCUUCAAAAGGAUUGGCAAUUUCUGCCUUAUUUGAAGGCAGCUGCUGUGGAAAAACCAUCACUGAGGUCACCAUGCCGAGAGCAGUCAUGUGAAGAGACUGGAAGACACCAAGGAUCUUACCAUGUGAAUGAAGCUUUUGGGAGCAUCAAUGGAACUGUAACCACCAACUGAGAUGCGAAAUGCAUGAUCUUCAUCCAGGCUGUGGAGCAGCAGCAGAACUACAGGGUAGAACCAUCCUUGAGUGCCAGCUCACAUAAUGUGAGGCCCCUAAUUUUUAAAGAUAAUUUGCUAUCCAACAAUAUGUAUCCAAAGUAUAGCAGUGCUAAAGUGGGAGAUGCAUACAUACAUACAUUCAUACAUACAUACAUACAAACAAACAAACAAACAAACAUACAUUUGACUUAGUAAACCUGCCUUUAGGAAUCCCUUAGAAAUAAAAGUGUAUUAACACCAUCAAAGAAACCUUUUUUUUUUUACAGCAAAUGGAGACCAUCACAGAAAACCAGAAAUGGGCACAGUACAGAAAUCAACGGAUUGUGGGGAGCACAACCCCAAUGAAUGUAUCUACAUCCAUGAUUCAAAAUAUAUCAGAAGGGGAUGGAAAGAUUGUAAGAGCCAAAAUUCCAGGAAGUCAUCUAUGAAAUGGACUCUCCUAGAAAUGGCUUUAUAACAACUAGGACAAUGGUAAUAUCAAUGGACAUGCUGGAGUGGGGAGCAGAAAAUUUCAGUGGUGUUUCAUCCCUAGACAAUGAGUGACAGCUAAUGACUGCUGGAGAAUUACACUCUCCAGGGAAGAGCCCCUUGGAUGUUAAAUAUAGAGUGGUCAGCCUUGAAGCCAUAUACAUACAAUGAACCAAAUAAGUUCUGUUUACAUAUAUCUGUGCAUACACACACAUGUAACAAGUAUAAUUAAAGAAGCCAUCAAGUUGAGGGGAUACAUGGGAGGAGUUUGAGUGAGGGAAAGAAGGAGGAAGUGGUGUAAUUUCAUUUCAAUUAACAUUUUUUAAAGUAUACGAUAUGGUUAGAAACAAGUAGAUUUUAAUACAUCCAUAUCAUGAAA
Rattus rattus (black rat) is the source of this 1528-nucleotide long non-coding RNA. RefSeq lists it as uncharacterized. The record is from RefSeq and is a predicted model, not a curated record. NCBI's taxonomy places the organism in Eukaryota, Metazoa, Chordata, Mammalia, Rodentia, Muridae. The transcript has 2 exons.